RNAcentral lists this small nucleolar RNA (68 nucleotides) under Lepisosteus oculatus (spotted gar). Lineage: Eukaryota; Metazoa; Chordata; Actinopteri; Semionotiformes; Lepisosteidae. The record is from RNAcentral.
UUUCAGUGAUGAUAACUGUCCAGUUCUGCUACUGAAUUUAAGCGAUGACAUUAAAGACUCUGAGGAAG